GACGAACGCUGGCGGCGUGCUUAACACAUGCAAGUCGAACGGAAAGGCCCUGCUUUUGUGGGGUGCUCGAGUGGCGAACGGGUGAGUAACACGUGAGUAACCUGCCCUUGACUUUGGGAUAACUUCAGGAAACUGGGGCUAAUACCGGAUAGGAGCUCCUGCUGCAUGGUGGGGGUUGGAAAGUUUCGGCGGUUGGGUAUGGACUCGCGGCUUAUCAGCUUGUUGGUGGGGUAGUGGCUUACCAAGGCUUUGACGGGUAGCCGGCCUGAGAGGGUGACCGGCGACAUUGGGACUGAGAUACGGCCCAGACUGCUACGGGAGGGAGCAGUGGGGAAGAUUGCACAAUGGGUGGAAGCCUGAUGCAGCAACGCCGUGUGCGGGAUGACGGCCUUCGGGUUGUAAACCGCUUUCGCUCAUGACGAAGCUUUGUGUGACGGUAGUGGGUAAAGAAGCACCGGCUAACUACGUG
RNAcentral lists this ribosomal RNA (469 nucleotides) under uncultured bacterium. RNAcentral describes it as "partial 16S ribosomal RNA". It matches the Rfam family "Bacterial small subunit ribosomal RNA", at positions 28 to 507 of the family's 1533-position model. The record is from RNAcentral.